GCCUCUCUCUCUCUCUAUUCAACAAGCCGGCGAGGGAAGGAAAACCGGAGAGGGAGAAAAAUGCCAGCUGGUCACGGUCUCCGAUCUCGGACCAGGGAUCUGUUUUCCAGACCCUUCAGAAAGAAGGGUUACAUCCCAUUGUCCACUUAUCUCAGGACCUACAAGAUUGGUGACUAUGUGGACGUCAAGGUAAAUGGCGCCGUUCACAAGGGCAUGCCCCACAAAUUCUACCAUGGCCGCACUGGUCGUGUCUGGAACAUCACCAAGCGCGCCAUCGGCGUUGAGGUCAACAAGCAGGUACUGAAACAACGGUGAUUUUAGUUUUUAUUUGUGGGUUUUUCUUUGUUUGAUGGACUUUCGGUGUAUGAAUCGUUUUGGGGGUUUUCAGUUUCAUUUUGCUUGAUGCAUUAUUUAUUUGUAUUUUUGGGUUUCCAUUUCAUUGUUAAAUGAUUCAUCCUACUAAGUCCCGAUAUAGGAUGUAAAGAUGUAGCUGAUUUAGCAGAUUAUGUGCAAUAAGUUUCUUGUUUCUGAAUGCUGUUUGCUGAUAUUUUCUAUGUGGUUGGAAUUGUUUAUUCUGAUUAUCCGAUUGGAUUUGUUCAUCCACUUAUAGUAAUCUGUUCGGUAUGUAUAUUAUGAAACUCCAUUUUGAAAUAUGGUGUGCUGCUAUUUCAAAGUUAGAUUUCCUUUUGUACAUUACUACUUUCAGCAAUAGUGUAGCCCCUUUGUAAUGUUGGAGUUGCUAUUGAAGGGGAAAAUAUAUGCAUAAUCACUCUUUUGGGAUGAGCUUAGUUUAUAUAUUUCAAUAAGUUGACUUAUCAUGUUGAUUAAAUGGGACGCAACACCCCAGCGUUUCAGCGGUGAUCAUGUGAACAAUAUUGCAAUCUUCACUUGUUGCUAUCGGGCCUUUUUAUAUUCUUUUCCCGGCUGAUUUUUUCAAGCUUGUGCAUCGUAUGGGGGGUUGGAAAUUUGUGUAAUUGUUGUAUUAAUAUGCUUCCGGAUUUCAGGUGGGUAACCGGAUUAUCAGGAAGAGGAUUCAUGUCAGAGUGGAGCAUGUUCAGCCUUCAAGGUGCACUGAGGAAUUCAAACUGAGGAAGAUAAAGAAUGAUCAGCUCAAGGCAGAGGCCAAGGCAAAGGGUGAGGUGAUUAGCACAAAGAGGCAGCCUGAGGGCCCAAAACCUGGUUUCAUGGUCGAGGGUGCGAUGUUGGAAACGGUUACUCCCAUUCCAUAUGAUGUUGUUAAUGAUCUCAAGGGUGGCUACUAGAUCUACUCUGUUUUUUGGUUUAUUCUUGGCAUAACUUAAGUAAGCUUUGUUAGUUAUUUUGGAUGUGUUGCUUACGUUUUGUAGUUUAUUUUGAAGAGUUACUGCUUCUGCAAAGAUUUUAAUCUUAUUAAUCAUUUUAUUUUAGAGAUAAAUGGAUCCCUUUAAUUGCUUGUGCAUUACGUUUUAGUUCCACAUUAUAGUUCUACAUUACUAUUAAACUAUGUGGUCAACUUGAAAAUACCAAAAAAAUCAAAAUUUAAAUCUUAAUAAAAAUUAUGUAAAAAAAAACAGUUUGAACUCAAGAAAAUAACAAAAAUUGGGAUUCAACUAUUGCGUUGUUGAUUGGAUGCAAUUGUCAUGAUUAUGUUUAUUAAAUGAAUUGCACUUCAGUUGCCUAAUGAAGUAUAUUUUGUAUGUUUGUUUCUCUUUUCUAUGUUCUUCAAAUUCAUAGCUUUUGGUUUGGUAUCACUAUGCUUUCCAUGCAUAUCCAAAUAUUUGGUAUCAUUGGGCAUAUAUACAAAUAUUGAUUUUUUCCCUUUUAACAUUUCUUUAUAACAAAUUUUGAAGUAACAACUGGUCUGUUCCUUUUAGCAUGUUUUUAAGAUAGUGACUUUAUGCAAAUAGGAUUAUGUUGUAUGUAUCUUGACUCUUGAAUAAAAUGGUUUUUUUUGCUAUACCAUUUUUCUUCAAGUUUAUUGCUUUGUUGUGAGAAUGGAAUAAGAUGCUUUUUACAUUAAUUUUUAUUCUCCCAUUAUGCUUUAAGUGUCUUUUAUCAUUUUUUUUUUUUGUAUAAAUGUUUAAAGUAGUAUCUUGUUUUAAUUGGUUUUUUAUAUACCAACAAGGGAAAAGAGUUUCAAUUUGCAUAUACAUAUGAUUUGAAUGAUUGUUUCUUUUUAAUGUUUGUGCAAAUGAAUUGAUGCUCAUGCACGUAUACUUAUUGAUAUGUUGUUUAAUGCGUGACAUUGGUGAGUUUGGAUGCUUUGAAUUUUAUGAAUGUAUUGAAAGAAUUAAUGCGCUAUUUGCAAGUAAAGUUGAGCAGUGCCAACUUCUUCACGCAUAAAUGAUGAAUAAUGUAGAACAUAUCGAUAUGUUUACAUAGUUCGAUUUUUCCACGUCAACAUGAUCUCGCCCAUAGAGAUUAUCUACUAACUUAAUACCUCGAACAAAAAGUGAUUAUAAGUUCUAAUCAUACUUUUGCACUUAAGAUCUAGUUCACUCACUUCUAAGUUUUUAAGUUAGAACUGACAUUUAAUGCAUUUCAAAAAAAAAAAAAAAGCUCAUUGAUGAACAAAAAUAAGUGUUCUUAGACCACCUAUACAAGUUAGAGGUGCUCAUGAGUCAGGUUGGGCUCAAACAAAAUUUUAAGCUCAUUUGCUAGGUUUGACUCAAUAAAUAAGCUUAAAAUUUUGCCCAAAUUUGGCUCGUAUAAAAUGUUAAAACCUGGGUCGAGCCCAAAUACUGUCAAGCUCGAGCUUAACCCAAAUUUUAGAGGUCGAUACUUAGCUUGAGCUCGUUCGAACAUCUAGUUUUAAGCUCGAGCUUGGCUCGAGAUAUAAUCGAGCUACUAAAUUUUGAGCUUGAUUAAGCUCGUUUACCAAUUUUUGUUCUCGAGCUUGAUUUGAUAAUUAAGCUUAGAGUUAAUAAUAUAUAUUAGGAGUAAUAAAGUAAUUUAAUAAUAUAAAUAACAAAACUUGAUAAGGCUCAUGAGCUGUCUGAAUUAAGUAUUUCUAAACUCAAAUUUAGCUAAAGCUUAGCUCAAUACUUUCUAAAUCGUGUUCGAUUUUUUUAAAAUUAAACUCGAGUAACUUGCGAGUAGUAAUGUUUCAUUUACACCCCCACUCAACCUAACUUGCUGUACUUGAAUAACUUUUCUUACUGAAUUUCAGGUUUUAAUGGGCCUAUUGCAAAAACAAGACAAAAAUCCAAAACGAGAAAUCUACAUAUUAGAUGGGCUUUUAUGCCCGGAUGAGCUCCUACAAUGGCGGAUCUGGUCCUUCGUUACCAAUCAUUCAAACACUGAAAUAGGAAUCAAAGGCCAAACCCAAAAAUGUCGAGAGAAAAAUAAACCUGACCAAAAAAGCAAUUAUAAAAGGAUCAUAGUUAGGGUUUUAAUCGUCCCUACAGCUCAACGCCUCUCUCUCUAUCUUCUACAAGCCGGCGAGGGAAGGAAAACCUGAGAGGGUGAAAAAUGCCAGCUGGUCACGGUCUCCGAUCUCGGACUAGGGAUCUGUUUUCCAGACCCUUCAGAAAGAAGGGUUACAUCCCAUUGUCCACUUACCUCAGGACCUACAAGAUCGGUGACUAUGUUGACGUCAAGGUAAAUGGCGCCGUUCACAAGGGUAUGCCCCACAAGUUCUACCAUGGCCGCACUGGUCGUGUCUGGAACGUCACCAAGCGCGCCAUCGGCGUUGAGGUCAACAAGCAG
Molecule: long non-coding RNA, 3687 nt
Filed under: Gossypium raimondii (Peruvian cotton)
Lineage: Eukaryota; Viridiplantae; Streptophyta; Magnoliopsida; Malvales; Malvaceae
Description: long non-coding RNA (GRAI_LNC004887)
Source: RNAcentral